This 257-nucleotide ribosomal RNA is filed under the name Staphylococcus aureus. RNAcentral's name for it is "partial 16S ribosomal RNA". It matches the Rfam family "Bacterial small subunit ribosomal RNA", at positions 196 to 448 of the family's 1533-position model. Lineage: Bacteria; Bacillati; Bacillota; Bacilli; Caryophanales; Staphylococcaceae. The record is from RNAcentral.
AAAAGUGAAAGACGGUCUUGCUGUCACUUAUAGAUGGAUCCGCGCUGCAUUAGCUAGUUGGUAAGGUAACGGCUUACCAAGGCAACGAUGCAUAGCCGACCUGAGAGGGUGAUCGGCCACACUGGAACUGAGACACGGUCCAGACUCCUACGGGAGGCAGCAGUAGGGAAUCUUCCGCAAUGGGCGAAAGCCUGACGGAGCAACGCCGCGUGAGUGAUGAAGGUCUUCGGAUCGUAAAACUCUGUUAUUAGGGAAGA